UACAGAGGGUGCGAGCGUUGUCCGGAAUCACUGGGCGUAAAGGGCGCGUAGGUGGCCCGACAAGUCAAUGGUGAAAGUUCGACGCUUAACGUCGAAUCGGCCACUGAUACUGUUGGGCUGGAGCACUGUAGAGGCUCAUGGAAUUCCGGGUGUAGCGGUGGAAUGCGUAGAGAUCCGGAAGAACACCGGUGGCGAAGGCGGCUUCCUGGACCGAUACUGACGCUGAGGCGCGAAAGCUAGGGGAGCAAACGGG
RNAcentral lists this ribosomal RNA (253 nucleotides) under uncultured bacterium. RNAcentral's name for it is "partial 16S ribosomal RNA". It matches the Rfam family "Bacterial small subunit ribosomal RNA", at positions 524 to 776 of the family's 1533-position model. The record is from RNAcentral.